Bacillus infantis NRRL B-14911 is the source of this 71-nucleotide transfer RNA. It matches the Rfam family "tRNA". Rfam says of the family: Transfer RNA (tRNA) molecules are approximately 80 nucleotides in length. The record is from Rfam. NCBI's taxonomy places the organism in Bacteria, Bacillati, Bacillota, Bacilli, Caryophanales, Bacillaceae.
GGCGGCAUAGCCAAGAGGUAAGGCAGAGGUCUGCAAAACCUUUAUCACCGGUUCGAUUCCGGUUGCCGCCU